This 414-nucleotide unclassified non-coding RNA is filed under the name fungal sp. RNAcentral describes it as "partial internal transcribed spacer region". The stretch from base 1 to 46 matches the Rfam family "Eukaryotic small subunit ribosomal RNA", at positions 1786 to 1831 of the family's 1831-position model. Lineage: Eukaryota; Fungi. The record is from RNAcentral.
AAGUCGUAACAAGGUUUCCGUAGGUGAACCUGCGGAAGGAUCAUUAACACGUUAUCCACGUAUCAUCAUCCGUAUGUCACCGUUACUAACUCCCUCCGUGCAGAAUGAACAGCAGCGAUUUAGAGUGAUGGAAGUGGAUGUGUUCUUUUACGCGCCGAUCUCUAUUGCUAUUCUUGCUGACGGGCCUGCUUUUUGGCGGCUCCGAGUGCGGGUACUGUUGCAUCUGUCUCGUGGAGGACCCCUCUCAGCGAACAACUCUCCUUCCAGAGGUGGGCGCUUGGGAACUUAUUCACAAUUAUUCACCCCUUUUUGCUAGUUGACUUUUAUAUGUUGUUCUUUGCUUCGGCAAGGUUCACACGUUUAAUUAUUUGAACGUUAAAAAUACAACUCUUAGCAAUGGAUAUCUAGGUUCUC